UACGAAGGGGGCUAGCGUUGCUCGGAAUCACUGGGCGUAAAGGGUGCGUAGGCGGGUUUUUAAGUCAGAGGUGAAAUCCUGGAGCUCAACUCCAGAACUGCCUUUGAUACUGAGAAUCUUGAGUUCGGGAGAGGUGAGUGGAACUGCGAGUGUAGAGGUGAAAUUCGUAGAUAUUCACAAGAACACCAGUGGCGAAGGCGGCUCACUGGCCCGAUACUGACGCUGAGGCACGAAAGCGUGGGGAGCAAACAGG
RNAcentral lists this ribosomal RNA (253 nucleotides) under uncultured bacterium. RNAcentral's name for it is "partial 16S ribosomal RNA". It matches the Rfam family "Bacterial small subunit ribosomal RNA", at positions 524 to 776 of the family's 1533-position model. The record is from RNAcentral.